GAUGAACGCUGGCGGCGUGCUUAACACAUGCAAGUCGAACGAAGCACUCUAUUUGAUUUCCUUCGGGAUUGAUUAUUUUGUGACUGAGUGGCGGACGGGUGAGUAACGCGUGGGUAACCUACCUUAUACAGGGGGAUAACAGUUGGAAACGACUGCUAAUACCGCAUAAGCGCACAGCAUCGCAUGAUGCAGUGUGAAAAGCUCCGACGGUAUAAGAUGGACCCGCGUCUGAUUAGCUAGUUGGUGAGGUAACGGCCCACCAAGGCGACGAUCAGUAGCCGACCUGAGAGGGUGACCGGCCACAUUGGGACUGAGACACGGCCCAAACUCC
Molecule: ribosomal RNA, 331 nt
Filed under: uncultured Coriobacteriales bacterium
Lineage: Bacteria; Bacillati; Actinomycetota; Coriobacteriia; Coriobacteriales
Description: bacterial SSU rRNA
Rfam family: Bacterial small subunit ribosomal RNA
Source: RNAcentral